UCCGUAGGGUGCAAGCGUUACUCGGAAUUACUGGGCGUAAAGCGUGCGCAGGCGGUGAUGUAAGACAGAUGUGAAAUCCCCGGGCUCAACCUGGGAACUGCAUUUGUGACUGCAUCGCUGGAGUGCGGCAGAGGGGGAUGGAAUUCCGCGUGUAGCAGUGAAAUGCGUAGAUAUGCGGAGGAACACCGAUGGCGAAGGCAAGCCCCUGGGCCUGCACUGACGCUCAUGCACGAAAGCGUGGGGAGCAAACAGG
This 253-nucleotide ribosomal RNA is filed under the name uncultured bacterium. RNAcentral's name for it is "partial 16S ribosomal RNA". It matches the Rfam family "Bacterial small subunit ribosomal RNA", at positions 524 to 776 of the family's 1533-position model. The record is from RNAcentral.